This 921-nucleotide ribosomal RNA is filed under the name Peripatoides sp. NZAC03005926. RNAcentral describes it as "SSU rRNA". It matches the Rfam family "Eukaryotic small subunit ribosomal RNA", at positions 53 to 862 of the family's 1831-position model. Lineage: Eukaryota; Metazoa; Onychophora; Udeonychophora; Euonychophora; Peripatopsidae. The record is from RNAcentral.
GCACGUCUAAGUACUCGCCUUGUCUAUUAAAGUGAAACCGCGAAUGGNNNANNAAAUNAGUUAUGGUUCACUAGAUCGUACCUCAUCCUACUCGGAUAACUGUGGUAAUUCUAGAGCUAAUACAUGCAACUAGGCCCUGCCCGGCCUCCUUCACGGGUGGUCGGAAAGGGCGCCAUUAUCAGCCCAAAACCGACCGGGUUGCCCCUUGGGGCUCCCGUCCUUAUACCCUUUGACGACUCUGGAUAACCUUCUAGCGGAUCGCCGGUAAACUAGGUCGGCCGGGCGGUGACGUCCGCGUCCGACCUACGGCGACUAGUCUUUCGAAUGUCUGCCUUAUCAACUGUCGACGGUAGGUUAGACGCCUACCGUGGUCGUAACGGGUGACGGGGAAUCAGGGUUCGAUUCCGGAGAGGGAGCCUGAGAAACGGCUACCACAUCCAAGGAAGGCAGCAGGCACGCAAAUUACCCAAUCCCUGCACGGGGAGGUAGUGACGAAAAAUAACGAUACGGGACUCUUAACGAGGCCUCGUAAUCGGAAUGAGUCCGCUCUAAAUCCUUUAACGAGGAUCUAUCGGAGGGCAAGUCUGGUGCCAGCAGCCGCGGUAAUUCCAGCUCCGAUAGCGUAUAUUAAAGUUGCUGCGGUUAAAAAGCUCGUAGUUGGAUUUGGGUUUUCGGGCCGGCGGGCCGCCGCCUUCGAGCGGCGCGUUUCCCGCCGCGCCCCCGGAACCGCACGGUCGCAGAGGCCCCCGCGGUGCUCUUGAGUGAGUGUCCGCGGUCUCGGGUCGCCGAACGUUUACUUUGAAAAAAUUAGAGUGCUCCAGGCAGGCCGGUAAAGCGUUUUUAAACCCGCGCCUGAAUAGUCACGCAUGGAAUAAUGAAAGAGGACUGGUGGUCCUAUUUUGUUGGUUUUCGGGAUUUUCC